Ipomoea triloba (trilobed morning glory) is the source of this 162-nucleotide small nuclear RNA. RefSeq annotates it as U1 spliceosomal RNA. The record is from RefSeq and is a predicted model, not a curated record. The transcript has a single exon. NCBI's taxonomy places the organism in Eukaryota, Viridiplantae, Streptophyta, Magnoliopsida, Solanales, Convolvulaceae.
AUACUUACCUUGACGGGGUGUAUGGGUGAUCAUGAAGACCCAUGGCCUAGAUCAGUGACUUUCAUUGCACUUUGAAAGGGCACCGGUCUAAGAUCUGCUCAUGUAGUGGAGUUCUACGUUAUAAUUUGUUGCAGCGGGGGCUUGCGUUCGCACAGCCCCUUC